GUUGGGCAUGGUGAUAUGUGCCUGUGGUACUGGCUGCUGGGAAGCUGAGGCAGGAGGAUGACUUGAGCACAGGAGUCCAAGGCAGCCUCGGCAACACUGUGAGACCCUGUCUCAG
This 115-nucleotide small RNA is filed under the name Marmota monax (woodchuck). The record is from RNAcentral. Lineage: Eukaryota; Metazoa; Chordata; Mammalia; Rodentia; Sciuridae.